GGCCUGUGGGAUGCAGCCCAACACCCCACCCCACCCUGCUCUCAACCUGCAGCUUUUGGAGAGCAGUAGCUGCUUGACACAUCUUUGUCCCUACCUCCUGCCUCAGGUGACACAUAAAAGAUACCAGAAAAGGAUUCGUUGAGGGAGUCUGCCCUUCCAUGCCUAAAUUAUCCAACCUGAGAAAUGGUGAGGUUAAACCUUACCGGCUGAAAAUGACUUAAAAGUGCCCAGAGAGUCUCUAAAGAAGCUGGGAUCGGAGCGCCCCCUGUGACGUAAAGGGAUUGGCAGAGUCUUGGGAGCUGCUGGGACACAGUCCCCAGCUGGGCACAGUGCGUUAAGGAUUUGGUGUUGCGGCAGCUGCCUGCGAUAUAAGUAAUCACUCACCGGCCAUGGUUCUCAAAGACUGGGAUGUGGGCCAGUCUCCCUCUUCCUGUGCAUCAGAAAAUCCACCUCCUCCAGGCUCCCCGGCUGAGGGGCUGAGCCCCCUUGCACCUCCCUUGCCCCUGCCUGGCUCUCUCCACGUGGCCACCUGCCUCCGUGGGCCAGCCACGUCCUGUGGAUACAGAGGAAGAGCAAGUUCAAGGAGUGUGAGCUCAGAGGAAGGAAGCGGCCCUGGGCCCAGGAAAUUUUAAAAAUUGGGACCCCUAAUCAGGAAUAAAGGUGCCCCUUCUCCACUCACUAAACUCUUGAAAGUCAGGAGAGGAGGAAGGCAGGAAGAGGAAGGGGUUCCUCACACCCCAGACCGCCAGUCUGCUGAGGGGACAGCUUGAGCAACAACACACCUGCUUUUCUUGGUCUCAGUUUCCCCCCAUAGGAUAUGGGUGUGGCCACCCUCUCCAUCCUGAGGUUCAUCGAGGAAGGAAACCAUCAAUGAGAAGGGGGAGCCUGUUAGAGUUCACAUGUGUUUCAUGAGGGCCACCACUCACUUCUGUACACAGCCACCCUUCCAGGACACUAAAUCCAGGACUACAUUAUGGGGAUUCAGAUGCGGGCAGGAGUCCCAGGAGGUUUGAGUUUCCCAAGAAGAUGCACAGUGAACACUUGUUGAUUGACUGACUGAUGGUAAGAAUAAAGAAGUGUGUCUCAUUGGAUUCAGUCCACGGAGUAUGUUGCCACAACCAUAAAGAGGUUAUUCACACUCUGGGCACCUAGACUUCUAGGACACACCCUCAUUUUCCUCUGGCCAGCCCUCUGCCUCCUCCAGGCUAAUGACCUCCCACAGACUCAGGAGGACUCCAGGCUUUAUUUAGGACCUCACUUCCGAUACUCUGCACUCAAAUCCAUCCAAUGCUAUUUCCUGCUGUGUUUUGCUGAUACUCUCCCUCCUUCAUCCUGAACUGACCUUAAAGUCAGCACACUGGGGCUACAGUGAGGCAGGUCAGAACCUUCAGGACACAGUGAAGGAAGGACUUGAAUUCAUCUCUAUUUCACCCAUGACAAAACUGAGGCACCAAAGGACUUAAGUAAAUUUGGAAUAAAUGAAAAAAAAAAUUGUGGAUAUUUCCAAUGGAAAACUUUGCAGUGUUUAGGACAUAUCCUUCUGUGCAAUCUGAUUAGAGCUUUUCAUUGCCUUUGAGCUUGUUUGCAACUCUAAGUUGCAGAGAAUUGAUGGCACAGCAAUGCUUCCUGUCUAUGGAUACGCAAAUAAAUGCUGUUUGUUCCAAGGACAACACUCUCCUUUUGUGGAAAAGUCAAUUUGCUUCCAUUUACAAGUUGAUUUCAACAUUCCUGUCCUAGAACUGCAUCUGUUCUUUGGAUUCUCCAUUGAAUGGUUUGUAAUAUAUCCCUGGUUCCCUUCUUAAUGAUAAGGUAAACAGAUCUUGAGUAUGUGUAUGAGGGUCAUGAUUUCAUCUUUUAAUUUUAUUUAUUGUUUUAAAAAAUUAUUUUUGCCACACCCAAAUUCCCAGG
Non-coding RNA from Sus scrofa (pig), 1908 nucleotides. The record is from RefSeq and is a predicted model, not a curated record. NCBI's taxonomy places the organism in Eukaryota, Metazoa, Chordata, Mammalia, Artiodactyla, Suidae.